AAGAAUUAAAAGGUCGAACAGACCUAGUUUUAAUGAAAUCUGCUCCAAUAUCUUAUCUUAAUCCAACAUCGAGGUCGCAAACUAAUUUAUCGAUUUGAACUCUUCAAAUUAAUUACG
RNAcentral lists this ribosomal RNA (117 nucleotides) under Cryptotympana holsti. RNAcentral's name for it is "partial 16S ribosomal RNA". The record is from RNAcentral. Lineage: Eukaryota; Metazoa; Arthropoda; Insecta; Hemiptera; Cicadidae.